RNA transcript from Pan troglodytes (chimpanzee), 7070 nucleotides. It is a transcript of the gene named proprotein convertase subtilisin/kexin type 7, with no coding region annotated. The record is from RefSeq and is a predicted model, not a curated record. NCBI's taxonomy places the organism in Eukaryota, Metazoa, Chordata, Mammalia, Primates, Hominidae. The transcript is spliced from 21 exons.
GCGGGGGUCGCCGGGCCGCAGGCGCCGCGCUGAUUGGCUGCGCCGCGGGCGGAAGUGAUGCUGCUGUCACUGCUCCUCCGGCUCCCGGGAAGCCGCGAGUUUCCGCAGGGAGGCGGCGGCAGCUGCGGCCGGGCCGGUCUGUAGCCUUUGCUGAGUCAACACUACUCACAGUGAAAGUGAUGCCUUUUCUCCAUUUGCACAACAUGAGUGUGACGUGGUUAGCCGGACCAGGAGCUCAACCUCAUGUAGAAUCCAGUCCACUGCUCUGAUGCCGAAAGGGAGGCAGAAAGUGCCACACUUGGAUGCCCCCCUGGGCCUGCCCACCUGCCUCUGGCUGGAAUUAGCCGGGCUCUUCUUACUGGUUCCCUGGGUCAUGGGCCUGGCAGGGACAGGUGGGCCUGAUGGCCAGGGCCCAGGGGGGCCGAGCUGGGCUGUGCACCUGGAAAGCCUGGAAGGUGACGGGGAGGAAGAGACUCUGGAGCAGCAGGCGGAUGCUUUGGCCCAGGCAGCAGGGCUGGUGAAUGCUGGACGCAUUGGAGAGCUUCAGGGGCACUACCUCUUUGUCCAGCCUGCUGGGCACAGGCCGGCCCUGGAGGUGGAGGCCAUCCGGCAGCAGGUGGAGGCUGUGUUGGCUGGGCAUGAAGCUGUGCGCUGGCACUCAGAGCAGAGGCUGCUAAGGAGGGCCAAGCGCAGCGUCCACUUCAAUGACCCCAAGUACCCGCAGCAAUGGCACCUGAAUAACCGACGGAGCCCGGGCAGGGACAUCAACGUGACGGGUGUGUGGGAACGCAAUGUGACUGGGCGAGGGGUGACGGUGGUGGUAGUGGAUGACGGAGUGGAACACACCAUCCAGGACAUUGCACCCAACUAUAGCCCUGAGGGUAGCUAUGACCUCAACUCUAAUGACCCUGACCCCAUGCCCCACCCGGAUGUGGAGAAUGGCAACCACCAUGGCACGCGAUGUGCAGGAGAGAUCGCGGCUGUGCCCAACAACAGCUUCUGUGCCGUGGGCGUGGCCUACGGGAGCCGCAUCGCAGGUAUCCGGGUACUGGAUGGACCUCUCACAGACAGCAUGGAGGCAGUGGCGUUCAACAAGCACUAUCAGAUCAAUGACAUCUACAGCUGCAGCUGGGGACCAGAUGACGAUGGGAAGACAGUGGAUGGCCCCCAUCAGCUUGGAAAGGCUGCCUUACAACAUGGGGUGAUUGCUGGUCGCCAGGGCUUUGGGAGCAUCUUUGUGGUAGCCAGUGGCAACGGAGGCCAACACAACGACAACUGCAACUACGAUGGCUACGCCAACUCCAUCUACACAGUCACCAUAGGAGCUGUGGAUGAGGAGGGACGCAUGCCUUUCUAUGCAGAAGAAUGUGCCUCCAUGCUGGCAGUCACCUUCAGUGGUGGGGACAAGAUGCUUCGGAGCAUUGUGACCACUGACUGGGACCUUCAGAAGGGCACUGGCUGCACUGAGGGCCACACAGGGACCUCAGCUGCAGCGCCUCUGGCAGCUGGCAUGAUAGCCUUAAUGCUGCAGGUGCGGCCCUGCCUCACAUGGCGUGACGUCCAGCACAUCAUUGUCUUCACAGCCACCCGGUAUGAGGAUCGCCGUGCAGAGUGGGUCACCAACGAGGCAGGCUUCAGCCAUAGCCACCAGCACGGUUUCGGCCUCCUCAACGCCUGGAGGCUCGUGAAUGCAGCCAAGAUCUGGACAUCUGUCCCUUACUUAGCAUCCUACGUCAGUCCCGUGUUAAAAGAAAACAAGGCGAUUCCGCAGUCCCCCCAUUCCCUGGAGGUCCUGUGGAAUGUCAGCAGGAUGGACCUGGAGAUGUCAGGGCUGAAGACCCUGGAGCAUGUGGCAGUGACAGUCUCCAUCACUCACCCACGGCGCGGCAGCUUGGAGCUGAAGCUGUUCUGCCCCAGCGGCAUGAUGUCCCUCAUCGGCGCCCCCCGCAGCAUGGACUCGGAUCCCAACGGCUUCAAUGACUGGACCUUCUCCACUGUGCGAUGCUGGGGGGAGAGAGCCCGAGGGACCUACAGGCUUGUCAUCAGGGAUGUUGGGGAUGAGUCAUUCCAGGUCGGCAUCCUCCGGCAAUGGCAGCUGACCCUAUAUGGCUCUGUGUGGAGUCCAGUAGACAUCAGGGACAGACAAAGGCUGUUAGAGAGUGCCAUGAGUGGAAAAUACCUGCACGAUGACUUCGCCCUGCCCUGCCCACCGGGGCUGAAAAUUCCUGAGGAAGAUGGUUACACCAUCACCCCCAACACCCUCAAGGGUGCUGUGCCUUCUCUCCAGUGUUUGUCUGAAGAGACUUCCAAAAGAGGUACCAAAGGAAGCCGAACCCAUCCCCUGGCCUCAGAGGGGUCAGAGGUUGGGAGGGACACACUGGUCUGAGGAUGGACGCAGGAGCGCGCUCCCCCGGCUCCCUCUCUGGUGAGACCCCUCCCCACUGGCACCCCACCCGCGGGAAGCAGAGCGAACACUAUCACACCCCACUGGUCCCAGGCCAGCUGCCCAGCCCGAUGCCCUGCCCUUCCUUUCUCAGGGAUGACAGGCUUUCUGGGCUGGAGUUCCUCAUCUGUGAAGUGGGGGUUAUGUUACCAACCUCAGAGGGCUGUGAAAAUGGGACGGUGUCUGUGAACUCCCUCACAUACUGCCUGGCCCUUAGCAGAGCUCCUCGAAAUGUCAGUUCUUUGCUGCCCAGAGCCAGGCUCCUGGUAAUGACCAGGGAGAGAGCCUGCCCUUGACCAAGGAGUGAAAAACUGACCUCAAAAUGUCAGUUCUUUGCUGCCCGCUCCAGCCUCCACACCCUUCUCACAAUCAUUCCCUGAGUGCGCAGCAGCUCACACGGAACAGAGUUCACACGGACUCAUCGAAGUGCCCGUCAUUGGGCAUCCCUCUCCUCCUUGCGUCUGUUUCCUUAUGUGUAAAGUGGGGGCGGGACCACCUCUGAGGACCCAGUUCUCUGAGCACUGGGGAUGAGGUGGGCUCCUGGCCCAGCCACCCCUCUCCCUGCCAGUGAUGCCAGAGACCCCAAAGGCAGAGUGCUCUGUUCUGCUGUUCAGCUACAAACAGCCAAUCCCUCCCUUCACCCUGUGUGUCCCACCCCCGCUCCCCAACCACCCAAGGACUCCUGCACAAAGAACUGUGGUCCAAACCCCCAAGUCAGCUGGGACCAGGUGAUUUUGGUAGCCCUGCAUCCUGGCCUCCAUCCACCCCAGCCUCUGUCUCAGCCUUUGCACCACCAUCCCAGACAGGCAUCCACCUUCUGUCCCUGGCCCUGCUUCUACCCCCACUCCACCUGCCCUCAUGCCUGCCUUCCCCUUCUGCACCCCUGCUGGGCUCCUGAGGAACAGGAUGGAAGGAGAGUGUGUCCCCUACCCCCAGCUUCCAGUCUCAGGAGGGUCAGAACAGACAAUACAGGUCAAAGCAGCAAGGCUAAGGGUGACAGGUACACAACGCUGCAGCCCCCAGAUCUAGAGACAAGAUUAGGAUUUCGGUCAGAGGGGGAUGAAGCACACACCAUCCCCACUCCCACCCAGCACCACCAUCCUUCCCCUUCCACCUCCUGGGUCAGGGUCGAAAAGUGGAGAAUGCCCAGAAAUCCUUUAGAGUCCUCCGAUGAAGCCUCCCCAGUCCUGCCUUCGAGCCAGUGGGGAGGGGGAGAGGAGGAUGAUUACAGGGCGCCCCCCCCCAGGGGCAUCUCAAGACACUCCCAGGACAGCAUGGACAGGCGUGGACCCUCCUGCCCUGUGGCUCCUGUGAGGACCCCUCCCCUGAGCUGCCCAGUGGGUGAAAGUGGGCAGUGGAGAAAGUAAGUCCAGGGGCAAAUGGGAAGGUGGCACCCCCUACCAGCAGAAGCCCAGAAACACGAGCAGAGCCAGGGGCCCCUGCAGGGCUGCUGUGCCCCUUCUCUCUUCCCAAAUAGGAGUGAGCACACCUGGACCUCUGAGAGGGCAGGAGGGUGGCUCCUCUCCACUCCACGGACAAACAGGAGUGGCCCGGCUACAUAAAUGUGUGCCAUCCUCACUGCUACCUUUGGAAUAGCAACUUCGAAAGGGAACCACCCUUUGGGAAAGACCAAGGGUCCCAGGCCUGCCCCGCCUAUCACUCCAAAGCUCCUCCUUGGCAGUACCCGCCCCCCACCCCUCUGCUACAGUGGGGGUGACCUCCCACUGUCAGACAGUGGAAGGGGCUGCUUGUCAGAAGGACAGGCCUUCCGUCUCCACUCUUUGCCCCAGACUGUGGAAUACAAGAGUUCUGCGGCCCUUCACAUUGUCACAGGGCUAUCGCUGCUGCUCAGGCCCUGGGGACCCGCCAGAGUGGGACACCGUGCUCCAACACAGGUGCGUUCACACACUCCUCACCUCCUUGGAGGUUCUCCUGGAGGGGCAACAGACAGUAGAGCCUUGGCCUAACCGGCCGGCGCCUGCACCCUUACACACACCUUGUGGAUGCGGCUGGCUGAGAUGGGGAGCCUCCCUCUCACCCCGGUGGUUUCCACCAUCAAUUCCUCUGCACUAGCCAAGUCAUCCGGGGCAUUUCAAUGAGCCCCGGGGCUGCCCAGUCUGAGAGAGAUCCAGGACGCUAGUGAUCCAGCCCACCCUGCCUGGAGCUUGGGCCCCCAUGCUGACUGAGAGGGUGGGUUUCCCUAGCCAGGGAGCUGGAGCUGGCGCCUGGGACCUCAGGAGAGCCUGCCUGAAAUGCACCCACUGCUCCUGUCCAGCUCCAGCCCAACUUCCCUCCAAGCCCCAGCCAAUGCACUCACAAGGCUUCCUCAGGGCUCGCAGGAAGGAGUGAAGACUUGUGUCUGGGUUCGGACAGACAGGAUGGGGCGCUGGCUGGGUGAGGGGUUUAAAGGGCUGCCGCCGUGGUGAUGUCAGCCUCCCCCGCUGGCUCGCUCCUCGGCCCCCUCCCUGCUAGAGGAAGCCGGCUCCGCUCCCCACCCCCGGCUCCCCCAGUGACUCCACACAGGCUCCAUAUUUGGGGAAAGACACCAAGUUGGAGCAGUCUACCGGGGCUGCCGAGACAUUCUCUGCAUGCUUUGGAGAUGGAGCGGGCCGGGGCGGGGCACGCUGCCGGCGGGGAGCCGGCCCGGGAAAAGCCUUUUAUGGACAGGACCCUGCCCGGACUUACGGCUGCUCCUACUUCACUGUUCUCUGGCCCCGAGUUUGAGAAGAGGGGGAGUUCAAUAGAGUCUGGCUGGAGAGAGGGGCAAGGGGCUGGGGAGCUGGGAAUCCCAGGGGUUUGCGGGGACAAACCAGCCACCCUCUCCUCCUGGGGCUUUUAGCUCUGAUGGGACAUGGGAUCCAACCUUUCCUGAGGACCUACUCCACACCAGGCCCUUUGCAGUGCUCUCAUGGAAUACUCACAGCUACAGUGUGAGGGUGUAAUUACAUCCCCAUUUUAUAGAUAGGAAACUGAGGCCCCAAGUGCGUCUUCCUCAAGGCCACACGGUGAAUGGUAAGUGGCAGAUCCUGCACACCUCUGCCAACCCCCAUGGGUGCAGGAGAGGUGGUCAGACCCACCCUUUCAAUUGGACCACCCUGCUCAGGUUGAGAAGAGCUUUCAGUGCAGGUAGGUCUUGAGUUAUAUGCUUUAGUUGGGGCUGGGAUUUGAGGGUUCGGCAGAAGCUGAGUCCAACUCCGGUCCCCAUCCAGUGGGCAGUGUCAAUAAGAGGGUCUCUAAGGCCUGGCAGGGCCUGAGACACUAACGCAGGAGAAGGAGGCUCAGGAGGCUGGUAUCAUCCCUUCCUCCCUUUAGGAACAGUCCCUACCAGCCUGGAAAACAGACCAGCCUCUGUCACUCCAGAGAUAACCCACUCUCAUCUUGCUCGUACCUGGCUUCAGGGAUGUUGGGGAGAGAGAAGAGGUUAAAAAAGGGACAUAUCAAAACUCCCUCCUCUUGGAGCCUGGCCAGCUUUCAUCACCUUCCUGCCUCGGCCUGCACGCUGAGUGGAUUAUAAACGCCCCAUCAGGGAGCACUGCGUGGGCCUGUGGCCUGAAAACGGAAAUGCAACCAUAGCAUGGAGACGCUCUGAGAAAAGAUCCAGACCCACCUCAUCUCCCAGCCCUUCAAGCAGAGCUAUAAAAACAAGUUUGGGAGAAAAACACAUUCCCAUCCCCAAAGCAGAGGCCCCGCCUGAGCUCCCCCAUCCUCAGCAUCUGGGGUGGACCAGGUAUGUGUGUGCAUGACUAACACAGAACUUGGCUGAAGACUGGACGGAAACUUAGAAGCCAGCCCUGGGUCCUAGAGCGAGGCUAGGACUGGGCACGUAGAGGGAAACAGCACAUCCCUUCCUGAAGCCCCUUUCUAAGAGGGACAAAUGGAGAGCCAAAGGACAGGGGCCCAUGGAAGUCCCCAACACUGAGAAGAAAGCAGCAAUUUGGCCAACAUCUGGGGGUUCCAGGGGAGCAGGCCUCCUCCUCGGCAGAGGGCAGCUGCAAGGUUCCAUGCCACCCCAUGGCUGUCCCAGGCCAAGCCUAAGCUAGACCUGGCUGUCCUGCUGCCAUCCAGUGCUGGGCAGCGGUGCUGGGACUCAUCCCCACAGCACGACAGAGUGACCGGUCUAUGACACAAAGGAGCUCAGGGCCCCUUGAGGUGAAGCGAAGAGCCCAGCUCCUGCUAGAAGACAUAGAUCUUGUCCCGCUGCACAGUAUCCAGGUCAUCAUCCAGUGUCAGCAACACCUGGGGGGUGGACGCCAGAUCAGCCACAGAGAAGGAGGCAGCUGCUACCUUCACGUACCUACCCGGCUCGGCCGGGAGACCUGCUUACCAGGAAGGACCCGAACAUGGCGAUGGAGGAGAGGAAGUGCCAGAUGUCGUGGUCGUCAAAGAAGUCGAGGAGGAUGCAGUCCCGGUUGUGCUCCCUCGACUCCGCAGGGGUUUUCUUGGGGAGCAACAAGAAAAACUGCCGAAUGACCCUGCUCUGGCAGGGCAAGGGCCAGACCCAUCUGCCAUCUUGCUCCUGGGCACCCCUCUCUCCAGCCCCAGGCAGGACAGCAGCAAUUCUGACCAGUCCCUUGUCCUUGUCCCCACCCCUUCCCGAUCUAAGAAAUGGCCUUUGGUUACAAACUUC